Molecule: ribosomal RNA, 648 nt
Filed under: Triticum aestivum (bread wheat)
Lineage: Eukaryota; Viridiplantae; Streptophyta; Magnoliopsida; Poales; Poaceae
Description: partial small subunit ribosomal RNA
Source: RNAcentral
AUGCCGGACGGGGUAAAUGACACGGCUAUCAUUCUUAUCCUGAAAGUUCCACACCCAAAGGAGCUCAAGGAUUUUAGACCGAUUAGUUUAUGUAACGUAUUGUACAAAAUUGUCUCAAAGUGUCUCACCAACCGGCUUCGGCCUAUACUUGGAGAUCUGAUUAGUGAAAAUCAAAGUGCCUUUAUUCCCGGUCGUCUGAUUUCUGACAAUUCUAUCAUUGCCUUUGAGUGCAUACAUCAUAUACAGUCACUGAGGCAAAACAGACCGGCGGAGUGCGCCUACAAACUUGAUCUUUCAAAGGCCUACGACCGCGUGGAUUGGGAGUUUUUGGAGCAAGCCCUGCGUAAAUGGGGCUUUGCAGAUGAGUGGAUCGCAUGGAUUAUGGCGUGUGUGAAAUCGAUUAAAUAUUCGGUGAAGCUCAACGGGAGAAUACUAGAAUCAUUUACCCCUUCUAGGGGCUUGAGGCAAGGUGAUCCACUGUCCCCUUUCUUAUUCUUAUUUGUUGCUGAUGCUCUGUCAUCUCUGAUCUCAAAUUCAGUUAACAAUGGGGACUUGAGAGGGGUAUCCAUUUGCCGGGGUGCACCGGUGAUUUCUCAUUUACUGUUUGCGGAUGACACCAUGUUACUCUUUGAAGCGUCAGCCCAGUAG